CACAGUGGGAACUCGGUUAGGGCAGGGGCUCUCAGGAUCACCAUUGGUGGAAGAUGCUGGCAUUAACAAGACCUGAGAGGACUUCCCACAGCAAAGGCCAGUGCCCAACUGUGAUGACACUAUCCAGCAACUCACCUGCAAAGAGAGUUGGAGCCUCCAGCCGAUAGAAGACAGGGGCCCAGUCUUGGAAAAGAUAUUCCAGGGACUUGAACCAAAACAACAGCAGCAGCAGCAACAACAAACCCUUGAUGGCAUCAAAGGAAAAAGGUGACCAGAAGCAUCACUCCGAGCUGACGUCUAUACUUAAGAUUAGUGUGUCCUUUAAAAGGUUGCCUACAUGGAUUCAAUAAGAGAAACAAACAGGCCAUCUCAUUGUUUCUGCUAUGAGCUCUGAGUGUGGAAAGACCCAAUUUUUGUUUUUUCAUCUACUGUGGUCUAUUGUUAGUGUGUGACCUUUUCAUUUCAUAUUUUUUUCCCUUUCUUUGUUGGGGGAGGAUUGUGUUCUGAAUGGUAAAAAACAAACAAGCAAGUAAACAAACA
Molecule: long non-coding RNA, 540 nt
Filed under: Mus spicilegus (steppe mouse)
Lineage: Eukaryota; Metazoa; Chordata; Mammalia; Rodentia; Muridae
Description: lncRNA (ENSMSIG00000017349.1)
Source: RNAcentral